This 33-nucleotide transfer RNA is filed under the name Duttaphrynus atukoralei (Yala toad). RNAcentral describes it as "partial tRNA-Met". Lineage: Eukaryota; Metazoa; Chordata; Amphibia; Anura; Bufonidae. The record is from RNAcentral.
CCAAACAUGUUGGUUAAACCCCUUCCUUUACUA